UAUACAUGCAAGUCGAGCGAAUGGAUUGAGAGCUUGCUCUCAAGAAGUUAGCGGCGGACGGGUGAGUAACACGUGGGUAACCUGCCCAUAAGACUGGGAUAACUCCGGGAAACCGGGGCUAAUACCGGAUAACAUUUUGAACUGCAUGGUUCGAAAUUGAAAGGCGGCUUCGGCUGUCACUUAUGGAUGGACCCGCGUCGCAUUAGCUAGUUGGUGAGGUAACGGCUCACCAAGGCAACGAUGCGUAGCCGACCUGAGAGGGUGAUCGGCCACACUGGGACUGAGACACGGCCCAGACUCCUACGGGAGGCAGCAGUAGGGAAUCUUCCGCAAUGGACGAAAGUCUGACGGAGCAACGCCGCGUGAGUGAUGAAGGCUUUCGGGUCGUAAAACUCUGUUGUUAGGGAAGAACAAGUGCUAGUUGAAUAAGCUGGCACCUUGACGGUACCUAACCAGAAAGCCACGGCUAACUACGUGCCAGCAGCCGCGGUAAUACGUAGGUGGCAAGCGUUAUCCGGAAUUAUUGGGCGUAAAGCGCGCGCAGGUGGUUUCUUAAGUCUGAUGUGAAAGCCCACGGCUCAACCGUGGAGGGUCAUUGGAAACUGGGAGACUUGAGUGCAGAAGAGGAAAGUGGAAUUCCAUGUGUAGCGGUGAAAUGCGUAGAGAUAUGGAGGAACACCAGUGGCGAAGGCGACUUUCUGGUCUGUAACUGACACUGAGGCGCGAAAGCGUGGGGA
RNAcentral lists this ribosomal RNA (737 nucleotides) under Bacillus thuringiensis. RNAcentral's name for it is "bacterial SSU rRNA". It matches the Rfam family "Bacterial small subunit ribosomal RNA", at positions 50 to 767 of the family's 1533-position model. Lineage: Bacteria; Bacillati; Bacillota; Bacilli; Caryophanales; Bacillaceae. The record is from RNAcentral.